GUCACUUUUACGGUUGGCCAUUUGUCUCUUACGUUGCAUUUAUCAAUCUGCUUUUUGAUACAGCAGCACCUCGCUGCUGCUUUUUUAUUUG
Molecule: non-coding RNA, 91 nt
Organism: Salmonella enterica subsp. enterica serovar Macclesfield
Lineage: Bacteria; Pseudomonadati; Pseudomonadota; Gammaproteobacteria; Enterobacterales; Enterobacteriaceae
Source: Rfam